GUGACUAUAAGAAAGGAAGGAAUUAUCAUGAUAAAGGAAGGAAUUACUAUGAAAAAGGAAGGUAUCGCUGCCUAUCAUACUCACUUAAAGGAGAUUUUCCGCACCGCAGAUUCAGACGACGACGACGCGUUCACCUUCCUCAUCCAUGCCGACCUCUCCCUACACAACGAGGACAGUCGGCGGUCGCUACCCCCUCGACGUCACCACCGCUACCGGCCAUCCUCGAGCGCCCAGAGGUCGCGGGCAGAGCGGAGGAUGCGAGGUAGCGCGAGAUCCACUCCGCCCGAGCCGCUGGAGCCGUGGCCUCCAUCACCAUCGCUGCCCUGCUCGCACUCGCCUCCGUCUCCGAAUCUGAAUCCCACCACAAGGUAUAUUUAAACGGUUUAUCAGACUAUAUGGAGAUGUUGUAUACACACUACAUGCCAACUGGAAAAGUCUAUACACAAUAGAGUUUGUGAGCCUGCGAUACCGUGAUCUCUGUGACCGUGUUAAUUUCAUGAACUUUACUUUUUUAGAUUAAAUGUCACUUUAAUAUCAUUAUUUAAUUAGUAUUAUUAUCUUAUCGUGUGAUCUGAGUGUUCUUAAUAAUAUUCUUA
This is a long non-coding RNA of Sorghum bicolor (sorghum), 596 nucleotides long. RefSeq lists it as uncharacterized. Lineage: Eukaryota; Viridiplantae; Streptophyta; Magnoliopsida; Poales; Poaceae. The transcript is spliced from 2 exons. The record is from RefSeq and is a predicted model, not a curated record.